This 253-nucleotide ribosomal RNA is filed under the name uncultured prokaryote. RNAcentral describes it as "partial 16S ribosomal RNA". It matches the Rfam family "Bacterial small subunit ribosomal RNA", at positions 524 to 776 of the family's 1533-position model. The record is from RNAcentral.
GACGAGUGGUCCAAGCGUUAGUCGGAAUUACUGGGCUUAAAGGGUGCGUAGGUGGACUUGUAAGUGUCUCGUGAAAGCCCCUGGCUCAACCAGGGAACCGCGGGGCAUACUGCAAGUCUUGAGGAAACUAGAGGCCGGCAGAACGAUAGGUGGAGCGGUGGAAUGCGUAGAGAUCUAACGGAAUGCCGAAGGUGAAGACAGCCGGCUGGGGUUUUCCUGACACUGAGGCACGAAAGCGUGGGGAGCAAACAGG